UAUCAUAACAUAGUGUAUUUUAUUUAUUUUAAUUUAAUAAAUCAAAACAUUUAUAGAAUAAGUAAAGGAGAUUAAAAAUUAUUUUAUAAUACACUUUUAUUUAGUACUGUGAAGGAAAGAUAAUUAGUUGUCAAAAAGAAAAAAUUAAAAUUUGUACCUUUUGCAUCAUGGCUUAGCUAGAUUAAAUUUUUAAUAAAAUAUCUCGAAAUCUAAUGGGCUAUUUUUAGUCAAUCUAUUAGGAAAGGAAACUAAUUGUGGCAAAAAUUUUUUUAGAACUGAAAAUAGAAAUGAAAUUUUAUUCGUAUUAGAUGAUAGCUAGUUUUUCUUUAAAGGCAUAUAAGUGCUUUAAACUAUUUUUAUUUCAUAAAUUUUAUAUGGAUAUAAAUAUAAUAGUUUAAUUAGGUUAUCGAGGAUAAGCUCGAAAACGUAAAUAAAAUAUUUUAUACUAAAAUUAAAUUUAAGCUUGAAAAUAGCUAUUAUUCUCGGAUUUUGUUAUAAUUCCAUUAUAAUUUUAUGUAUAUAAUAAAUUUAUUUGAUUUUGAAAGAAGGAAACCUUAAAACAUAAGUUAGGAUAAAAUUAUGCUAAGAUGAGUAUUCAUAAGUUAUUAGUUUUAGAAAUACAAGAUAAAAAUCUUAAAAACAAAUUUUCUCAUAUAAAAUUAUAAAAAGGAACUCGGCAAAUAAGUCAUUCUGCCUGUUUAUCAAAAACAUGGCUCCUUGUAUUAUAAAGAUAGGGAGUCGGACCUGCCCAGUGAAAUUUUUUAACGGCCGCGGUACUCUGACCGUGCAAAGGUAGCAUAAUCAUUUGCCUUAUAAUUGAAGGCUAGUAUGAAUGGUUUGACAAGAAUGAAGCUGUCUCUUUAUAAUUAAUUUGAAUUUUAUUUAUAGGUGAAGAAGCCUAUAUUACAUUGAAAGACAAGAAGACCCUAUCGAGCUUUAAAGAAAUUAAUAAAUUGAAAAAUUGAUAUUAAAAAUAUAAAUUUCGUUAUUAAAUUAUUUUAGUUGGGGCGACUGAGGAACAAACAAAGCUUCCUAUAUAGACAUUAAUACAUUCAAGUACUGAUCCAAAAGCUUUGAUUAAAGAAAUUAGUUACCGUAGGGAUAACAGCAUUAUCUUUUUUGAGAGCUCUAAUCGAAAAAAAGGUUUGUGACCUCGAUGUUGGACCAGAAUAUCCUAAAGAUGCAGCCGUCUUUAAGGGUUGGUCUGUUCGACCAUUAAAAUUCUACGUGAUCUGAGUUCAGACCGGCGUGAGCCAGGUCAGUUUCUAUCUUCAAUUUUCUAUAGUGAACUUAGUACGAAAGGACCAGUUUACUGUAAAAUAUUUACUUCAUUUGAUAAAAUGUAAAGUACUAUUAAAUUAAUAAUAAAAUAU
This 1373-nucleotide ribosomal RNA is filed under the name Ceratostoma fournieri. RNAcentral's name for it is "16S ribosomal RNA". It matches the Rfam family "Bacterial large subunit ribosomal RNA", at positions 146 to 2767 of the family's 2925-position model. The record is from RNAcentral. Lineage: Eukaryota; Metazoa; Mollusca; Gastropoda; Neogastropoda; Muricidae.